Molecule: unclassified non-coding RNA, 250 nt
Filed under: soil metagenome
Description: partial internal transcribed spacer 1
Source: RNAcentral
UAUCCGUCGGGGAACCAGCGGAUGGAUCAUUAAAGGAAUGAAUGAGAUUUUGCUGAAAUUUUAGCAAAAAAUCAAACAACAAACAUAAUUGAAUGAUGAAGCUUUUAAAUAUGAAAAGUGAAUUUAUUUUUUUAACGUAAAAACUGAAAUUUAUAAUAUUAAACUCUUUAAUUUUUCCAGAUAUUAUUCUGGUAAAAAUGAAAAGAAAAAAUCAUAGAAAUAACUAUUAACAAUGGAUAUCUUGGUUUUU